GAGGUGUGAAAUCCCUGGGCUCAACCUAGGAACUGCAUUUCAAACUGGAUAACUUGAGUAUGUCAGAGGGUAUUGGAAUUUCCCCGUGUAGCAGUGAAAUGCGUAGAUAUGGGAAGGAACAUCAGUGGCGAAGGCGAAUACCUGGGAUAAUACUGACGCUGAGGUGCGAAAGCGUGGGGAGCAAACGGGAUUAGAUACCCUGGUAG
Molecule: ribosomal RNA, 206 nt
Filed under: uncultured bacterium
Lineage: Bacteria
Description: partial 16S ribosomal RNA
Rfam family: Bacterial small subunit ribosomal RNA
Source: RNAcentral